RNAcentral lists this unclassified non-coding RNA (83 nucleotides) under Kaistella jeonii. Its description in RNAcentral is "Chryseobacterium jeonii Flavo-1 RNA". The record is from RNAcentral. Lineage: Bacteria; Pseudomonadati; Bacteroidota; Flavobacteriia; Flavobacteriales; Weeksellaceae.
AUUUUGCAGCCCGACCUGAAUGGAGCUCUUUUUUCUGUAGCAAAGCGGAGGAAAAAAAGCGGGAAUGGAGGGCGGAAAAAGAU